Molecule: long non-coding RNA, 686 nt
Organism: Perognathus longimembris pacificus (Pacific pocket mouse)
Lineage: Eukaryota; Metazoa; Chordata; Mammalia; Rodentia; Heteromyidae
Exons: 3
Source: RefSeq, a predicted model, not a curated record
UCCGGGGAUCUAGGCCUGGGUCCUGGCCGGGGCGCGGGACCUGCGCGGGGCGGGGCGGGCCUGCACCCGGACCGAGCCGCCAUCAGGACCCGCAGACGUGUCCCCGUCCCGCCACCCCCCUCCCCCAGCCAGGGCCAUCAACCCCUUCCCUCGGUCCCUACAGGCCCGCCCUGAUCGGUCGAUCGGCAGCCCUACUUCCGAUCUGGGAACCCACAAACCAACCCGCCUCUCCUCUUCCCCCUCCCCCCUCUCCCCAGACUGUCCCGAAAAGGACGGACAGUGCCCUCCUCCGACGGCGGGACGACCACAGACACCAGCCCCCAAACUCGGCGCCUCCGCUCUGGCCUUAGGGGUCACAGAUGACUGCCCCCUCCCCAACUCGCCUAGAUCAUAAUUAAACAUCUGUCUCCUCCCCCACAGACACACUGCCUCCCUGUAUCCUCUCCCAUCCAGGGAACCUUAGCAGAUUUAAAAGGGAUCUAUUGCUGGGCCCUUCCCCCGGUCCAGGUCAGACCUACCCUGACAUCAGGACACACAGACCUCUUGAUGGGCUGCCACUGUCCCCAACAGGCAGUCCCCUCCCCUCCUGGCCCUCACAGGCAACAGGUAGGUAGAACACUCCCCCUUUCCAGUAGCUACCCAGCUCCUCAACUCCAGGACAUAUUGUCAGGCUCUUGAGCCACUGG